UCCAGACUCCUACGGGAGGCAGCAGUGGGGAAUAUUGCACAAUGGGGGAAACCCUGAUGCAGCGACGCCGCGUGAGUGAAGAAGUAUUUCGGUAUGUAAAGCUCUAUCAGCAGGAACGAGACAAGACGGUACCUGACUAAGAAGCCCCGGCUAACUACGUGCCAGCAGCCGCGGUAAUACGUAGGGGGCAAGCGUUAUCCGGAAUCACUGGGUGUAAAGGGAGCGUAGACGGCUGUGCAAGCCUGAAGUGAAAGGCGGGGGCCCAACCCCUGGACUGCUCUGGAAACUGUGUAACUUGAGUGCAGGAGAGGUAAGCGGAAUUCCUAGUGUAGCGGUGAAAUGCGUAGAUAUUAGGAGGAACACCAGUGGCGAAGGCGGCUUACUGGACUGUAACUGACGUUGAGGCUCGAAAGCGUGGGGAGCAAACAGGAUUAGAUACCCCUGUAU
RNAcentral lists this ribosomal RNA (447 nucleotides) under uncultured bacterium. Its description in RNAcentral is "bacterial SSU rRNA". It matches the Rfam family "Bacterial small subunit ribosomal RNA", at positions 330 to 793 of the family's 1533-position model. The record is from RNAcentral.